AAAGAAACUCCCGAAAGCGACGUGGACUUACAAAAGUUAGUGUGCAUUCCACUUGUAAGUAGACGUUUCAGCGAGUGAAGUUUGCUUUGUGAAGCGAAAUAUGAUUCCUACAAGAUUCAAGAGCGAAACAAAGCGAUAGAUCAAAAGUUCCAUGUUCCCGAAAGCGACGUGGACUUACAAAAGUUAGUGUGCAUAGCUCCGUAAGGUCACACGAGAAUGGUCGAAUUGGAUACGAAACAUAAAGAAACUUCCCGAAAGCGACGUGGACUUACAAAAGUUAGUGUGCAUUCCACUUGUAAGUAGACGCUUUCAGCGAGUGAAGUUUGCUUUGUGAAGCGAAAUAUAAUUCCUACAAGAUUCAAGAGCGAAACAAAGCGAUAGAUCAAAAGUUCCAUGUUCCCACUUUUCCAGCGGGAAAGUUUUUGACUGUUGCUCACUCAUUUCG
RNAcentral lists this ribosomal RNA (445 nucleotides) under Paenibacillus larvae. RNAcentral's name for it is "bacterial LSU rRNA". The record is from RNAcentral. Lineage: Bacteria; Bacillati; Bacillota; Bacilli; Caryophanales; Paenibacillaceae.